GAUGAACGCUGGCGGCGUGCCUAAUACAUGCAAGUAGAACGCUGAAGGAAGGAGCUUGCUCUUUCCGGAUGAGUUGCGAACGGGUGAGUAACGCGUAGGUAACCUGCCUGGUAGCGGGGGAUAACUAUUGGAAACGAUAGCUAAUACCGCAUAACAGUAGAUGUUGCAUGAUAUCUACUUAAAAGGUGCAAUUGCACCACUACCAGAUGGACCUGCGUUGUAUUAGCUAGUUGGUGAGGUAACGGCUCACCAAGGCGACGAUACAUAGCCGACCUGAGAGGGUGAGUGGCCACACUGGGACGGAGACACGGCCCAGAGUGCUUCGGGAGGCAGCAGUAGGGAAGCUUCGGCAAGGGACGGAAGACUGACCGAGAUACGCCGCGUGAGUGAAGAAGGUUUUCGGAUCGGAAAGCUCGGUUGUAAGGGAAGAACGAGUGUGAGAGUGGAAAGUUCACACUGUGACGGUAUCUGGCCAGAAAGGGACGGCUAACUACGUG
RNAcentral lists this ribosomal RNA (497 nucleotides) under uncultured bacterium. RNAcentral describes it as "partial 16S ribosomal RNA". It matches the Rfam family "Bacterial small subunit ribosomal RNA", at positions 28 to 507 of the family's 1533-position model. The record is from RNAcentral.